RNAcentral lists this ribosomal RNA (348 nucleotides) under uncultured Coprococcus sp. RNAcentral's name for it is "bacterial SSU rRNA". It matches the Rfam family "Bacterial small subunit ribosomal RNA", at positions 8 to 339 of the family's 1533-position model. Lineage: Bacteria; Bacillati; Bacillota; Clostridia; Lachnospirales; Lachnospiraceae. The record is from RNAcentral.
AGUGUUUGAUCCUGGCUCAGGAUGAACGCUGGCGGCGUGCCUAACACAUGCAAGUCGAACGGGACUAUUCAGAAGAUCUUUUCGGAGUGAUUCUUUAUAGUUUAGUGGCGGACGGGUGAGUAACGCGUGGAGAACCUGCCCUGUACUGGGGGAUAACAGUGAGAAAUCACUGCUAAUACCGCAUAAGCGCACGGAGCCGCAUGGCUCUGUGUGAAAAACUCCGGUGGUACAGGAUGGCUCCGCGUUGGAUUAGCCAGUUGGCGGGGUAACGGCCCACCAAAGCGACGAUCCAUAGCCGGCCUGAGAGGGUGAACGGCCACAUUGGGACUGAGACACGGCCCAGACUCC